RNAcentral lists this transfer RNA (70 nucleotides) under Salmo salar (Atlantic salmon). It matches the Rfam family "tRNA". Rfam says of the family: Transfer RNA (tRNA) molecules are approximately 80 nucleotides in length. Their secondary structure includes four short double-helical elements and three loops (D, anti-codon, and T loops). Further hydrogen bonds mediate the characteristic L-shaped molecular structure. tRNAs have two regions of fundamental functional importance: the anti-codon, which is responsible for specific mRNA codon recognition, and the 3' end, to which the tRNAs corresponding amino acid is attached (by aminoacyl-tRNA synthetases). tRNAs cope with the degeneracy of the genetic code in two manners: having more than one tRNA (with a specific anti-codon) for a particular amino acid; and 'wobble' base-pairing, i.e. permitting non-standard base-pairing at the 3rd anti-codon position. The record is from Rfam by way of RNAcentral. RNAcentral also lists the same sequence under 1 other name. Lineage: Eukaryota; Metazoa; Chordata; Actinopteri; Salmoniformes; Salmonidae.
UCCCGUGUGGCUCAGUUGGUAGAGCAUGGUGUUUGCAAUGCCAGGGUUGUGAGUUCGAUUCCCACGGGGG